Molecule: ribosomal RNA, 581 nt
Filed under: Escherichia coli
Lineage: Bacteria; Pseudomonadati; Pseudomonadota; Gammaproteobacteria; Enterobacterales; Enterobacteriaceae
Description: bacterial SSU rRNA
Rfam family: Bacterial small subunit ribosomal RNA
Source: RNAcentral
AAAUUGAAGAGUUUGAUCAUGGCUCAGAUUGAACGCUGGCGGCAGGCCUAACACAUGCAAGUCGAACGGUAACAGGAAGAAGCUUGCUUCUUUGCUGACGAGUGGCGGACGGGUGAGUAAUGUCUGGGAAACUACCUGAUGGAGGGGGAUAACUACUGGAAACGGUAGCUAAUACCGCAUAACGUCGCAAGACCAAAGAGGGGGACCUUCGGGCCUCUUGCCAUCGGAUGUGCCCAGAUGGGAUUAGCUAGUAGGUGGGGUAACGGCUCACCUAGGCGACGAUCCCUAGCUGGUCUGAGAGGAUGACCAGCCACACUGGAACUGAGACACGGUCCAGACUCCUACGGGAGGCAGCAGUGGGGAAUAUUGCACAAUGGGCGCAAGCCUGAUGCAGCCAUGCCGCGUGUAUGAAGAAGGCCUUCGGGUUGUAAAGUACUUUCAGCGGGGAGGAAGGGAGUAAAGUUAAUACCUUUGCUCAUUGACGUUACCCGCAGAAGAAGCACCGGCUAACUCCGUGCCAGCAGCCGCGGUAAUACGGAGGGUGCAAGCGUUAAUCGGAAUUACUGGGCGUAAAGCGCACG